AUUUGUUUACACCGAGGGAACUGACCACGUGGGUUUGUUUACGUUUGUUUACUUCGAGGCAACCAAUCACGUGACUUUAUUUGCUUUUGUUUACACCCGAGCACGUGGGAUUUUGUUUACAUCGAGGGAACUGACCACGUGGCUUUGUUUACGUUUGUUUACAUCGAGGCAACCAAUCACGUGACUUUAUUUGCUUUUGUUUACACCCGAGCACGUGGGAUUUUGUUUACACCGAGGGAACUGACCACGUGGGUUUGUUUACGUUUGUUUACAUCGAGGCAACCAAUCACGUGACUUUAUUUUCGCUUGUUUGUAUCGAAGCAACCGAGCACGUGGCUUUGUUUACAUCGAAGCAGCAACCAAUCACGUGUGUUUGUCUGUGCUUCCUUAUACACAACCGAAUUUGUGGGUCUGUUUACACUAAAGUUACUGAUCAUUUGGGUUGUUGCAUCGAGGUAACUGGUUGACCAUUGUAACCGAAUUCGUGAGGUUGGCUCCUGGAAAGUACAGAAAACUAACCAAGUGAAAGAUGACCCACUAAAUUACAUGACUAUCCUUUUGUUGCAUUGAGGUAACUGGUUGACCAAAGUAACCAAAUUCGUGAGGUUGGUUGCUGGAAAGUACAGAAAACCAAUGAAGUGAGAGAUGCCCCACUAAAUUACACGACUAUCCUUCUAGUGCAUCGAGUUUUAGGUCAAGUUAGGUUAGGGUAGGUUAGGUUAGGUUGACCAAAGUAACCAAAUUCGUGAGGUUGGUUGCUGGAAAGUACAGAAAACCGAUGAAGUGAGAGAUGCCCCACUAAAUCACUCGAACUUUCUCCUUUUUUUCCUCUCAAAACUCCCGUGGACGUGAAAUUCGAUUAAAAUGAAAAUCGGAAAGUAAUGUUGAUGGGCCCUUCUCCCCUGCGAGCAACGGCGACCACGAGGCAAGAACUGAGAUCGCUGACUUAGAAAGGGGUGCUUCUGGAAACAACUUAAAUGCUAACGAGGUGCAAAGGUGAUGAUAAUGGUGCCACUGUACACAUGCAGGUAAAGGUGUGGGUCUGAACCUGUCCACACUUUCCCUCCUACCCUUCUCUCCCUCUCUCUCUCUCCCACACUUCCGUCAUCUCUUUCUCUCUCUCUCCUAAUCUCUUCUCCUUUCUCUUUCUAUUCUAAGCUUAUAUUCUCUUUCUCCUCUUCCUCCUAACUCAUUAUCUUCAUCCUAAUUUUAACUCUACAAGAUACGGUAACUCCCCUCCUUCUGCUCCUCGUCCUUAUCAUAACUAUACCGCCACCUUUUGUCUCCUUUCUCACUAAGUACUUUGUUAUAGCUAUCGUCAUGGUUCUGCUCUCUCUGCGGUCUCUCUCUCUCUCUCUCUCUCUCUCUCUCUCUCUCUCUCUCUCUCUCUCAGAUUCACAGUUACAUUCAUUCCAUCACGUCAGUCACUCCGGGUAAAGCUAAUCCAAUUAUAUUCCACGUUUUUUUCUCUAUCUAAGGUAUUGGUAAAGUCAUCCACCUGGCUUGCGUUCCUCCGCCUCCUCCUCUUCCACCUUCUCCCUCCCACCUGUGCUUCCACUAAUUUACUCCACCUGCUCGUCACUUUCAUUCAUUAACACCUGGGGUCAUCUACUUCACAGGUGGACUCCACAUCUAGAUCCACUGCCACUUCAUGCGUGUUUGCUGGUGUGUAUGUGUAAGUGUGUGUGUGUGUGUGUGUGUGUGUGUGUGUGUGUGUGUGUGUGUGUGUGUGUGUGUCACGCUUCUCCAGUCACUCCCUCCUACUAUUAUAACUGUACACACACACACACACACACACACACACACACACACACACACACAUACACACA
Eriocheir sinensis (Chinese mitten crab) is the source of this 1829-nucleotide long non-coding RNA. RefSeq lists it as uncharacterized. The transcript is spliced from 2 exons. Lineage: Eukaryota; Metazoa; Arthropoda; Malacostraca; Decapoda; Varunidae. The record is from RefSeq and is a predicted model, not a curated record.